Molecule: ribosomal RNA, 471 nt
Filed under: uncultured bacterium
Lineage: Bacteria
Description: bacterial SSU rRNA
Rfam family: Bacterial small subunit ribosomal RNA
Source: RNAcentral
UCCAGACUCCUACGGGAGGCAGCAGUAGGGAAUUUUCGGCAAUGGGGGAAACCCUGACCGAGCAACGCCGCGUGAGGGAGGAAGUAUUUCGGUAUGUAAACCUCUGUUAUAAAGGAAGAACGAUGCAUGUAGGGAAUGACAUGCAAGUGACGGUACUUUAUGAGGAAGCCACGGCUAACUACGUGCCAGCAGCCGCGGUAAUACGUAGGUGGCGAGCGUUAUCCGGAAUUAUUGGGCGUAAAGAGGGAGCAGGCGGCAGCUAAGGUCUGCGGUGAAAGCCCGAAGCUAAACUUCGGUAAGCCGUGGAAACCGAGCAGCUAGAGUGCAGUAGAGGAUCGUGGAAUUCCAUGUGUAGCGGUGAAAUGCGUAGAUAUAUGGAGGAACACCAGUGGCGAAGGCGACGAUCUGGGCUGCAACUGACGCUCAGUCCCGAAAGCGUGGGGAGCAAAUAGGAUUAGAUACCCUAGUAAC